This 95-nucleotide ribosomal RNA is filed under the name Vibrio parahaemolyticus. RNAcentral's name for it is "partial 16S ribosomal RNA". It matches the Rfam family "Bacterial small subunit ribosomal RNA", at positions 1 to 92 of the family's 1533-position model. The record is from RNAcentral. Lineage: Bacteria; Pseudomonadati; Pseudomonadota; Gammaproteobacteria; Vibrionales; Vibrionaceae.
UUAAAUUGAAGAGUUUGAUCAUGGCUCAGAUUGAACGCUGGCGGCAGGCCUAACACAUGCAAGUCGAGCGGAAACGAGUUAUCAGAACCUUCGGG